This 549-nucleotide ribosomal RNA is filed under the name uncultured Cercozoa. Its description in RNAcentral is "SSU rRNA". It matches the Rfam family "Eukaryotic small subunit ribosomal RNA", at positions 598 to 1149 of the family's 1831-position model. Lineage: Eukaryota; Cercozoa. The record is from RNAcentral.
CGUAUAUUAAAGCUGUUGCAGUUAAAAAGCUCGUAGUUGGAUUUCUGGUACAACGCGCCUGGCCCGCUUUUAGUGAGUGCCGGUGCGCGUUUGCCAUCCUUCUAGAAAACGUUUCUACCUGGGCAACCGGGCCGGACUCGCGAUCUAGAUCUUUUACUUUGAAAAAAUUAGAGUGUUUAAAGCAGGCUUUUGCUGUGAAUACAUUAGCAUGGAAUAAUAAUCUAGGACUUCGGUUCUAUUUUGUUGGUUUCUAGUACUGAAGUAAUGAUUGAUAGGGAUAGUUGGGGGUGCUAGUAUUGGCCGGCCAGAGGUGAAAUUCUUGGAUUCGGUCAAGACUAACUUAUGCGAAAGCAUUCACCAAGGAUGUCUUCUUUAAUCAAGAACGAAAGUUGGGGGAUCGAAGACGAUCAGAUACCGUCGUAGUCUCAACCAUAAACUAUGCCAACUAGGGAUGGGUGAACGUUGUUUUUUUGACUUCAUCUGCACCUUAUGAGAAAUCAAAGUCUUUGGGUUCCGGGGGGAGUAUGGUCGCAAGGCUGAAACUUAAAG